This 585-nucleotide ribosomal RNA is filed under the name Lasiodiplodia theobromae. RNAcentral describes it as "partial large subunit ribosomal RNA". It matches the Rfam family "Eukaryotic large subunit ribosomal RNA", at positions 68 to 673 of the family's 3401-position model. Lineage: Eukaryota; Fungi; Ascomycota; Dothideomycetes; Botryosphaeriales; Botryosphaeriaceae. The record is from RNAcentral.
AAGGGGGAUGCCUUAGUACGGCGAGUGAAGCGGCAACAGCUCAAUUUGAAAGCUGGCCCUUUUAGGGUCCGCAUUGUUUUUUGUAGAGGAUGAUUCGGCGAGGGCUCCCGCCUUCCUCCCCUGGAACGGGGCGUCAUAGAGAGAGACAAUCCCGUAUGCGGUAGGUUGCCUUAGCCAUGUGAAUCUCCUUCGACGAGUCGAGGUGUUUGGGAAUGCAGCUCUGAAUGAGAUGUAUAUUUCUUCUAAAGCUAAAUACCGGCCAGAGACCGAUAGCGCACAAGUAGAGUGAUCGAAAGAUGAAUAGCACUUUGGAAAGAGAGUUAAAAAGUACGUGAAAUUGUUGAAAGGCAAGCGCUUGCAACCGGACUUGUCCGCUGUUGCUCAGCCCGUCUCCUGACCCGCGUACUCUUCUGCGGCCAGGCCAGCAUCAGUUCGGGAGGUCGGAUAACGGCCUCGGGAAUGCGCCUCCUCUGGGGGAGUGUUAUCGCCCGGGGUGCAAUGCCGCCAGCCUGGACUGACGAACUCGCUUCGGCGAGGAUGCUGGCGUAAUGUUUGUCAGCUCGCCUUGAAAAAAAAAAAAAAAAA